CACGUAGGGGGCGAGCGUUGUCCGGAUUUAUUGGGCGUAAAGCGCGCGUAGGCGGCCACUUAAGUCGGAUGUGAAAGCCCCUGGCUCAACUGGGGAAGUGCACCCGAAACUGAAUGGCUUGAGUGCGAAAGAGGGUCGCGGAAUUCCCGGUGUAGAGGUGAAAUUCGUAGAUAUCGGGAGGAACACCGGUGGCGAAGGCGGCGACCUGGGUCGACACUGACGCUGAGGCGCGAAAGCGUGGGGAGCAAACAGG
This 253-nucleotide ribosomal RNA is filed under the name uncultured bacterium. RNAcentral's name for it is "partial 16S ribosomal RNA". It matches the Rfam family "Bacterial small subunit ribosomal RNA", at positions 524 to 776 of the family's 1533-position model. The record is from RNAcentral.